RNAcentral lists this ribosomal RNA (435 nucleotides) under Klebsiella quasipneumoniae subsp. similipneumoniae. Its description in RNAcentral is "partial 23S ribosomal RNA". It matches the Rfam family "Bacterial large subunit ribosomal RNA", at positions 2261 to 2695 of the family's 2925-position model. RNAcentral also lists the same sequence under 1 other name. The record is from RNAcentral. Lineage: Bacteria; Pseudomonadati; Pseudomonadota; Gammaproteobacteria; Enterobacterales; Enterobacteriaceae.
GUGGGUAGUUUGACUGGGGCGGUCUCCUCCCAAAGCGUAACGGAGGAGCACGAAGGUUAGCUAAUCCUGGUCGGACAUCAGGAGGUUAGUGCAAUGGCAUAAGCUAGCUUGACUGCGAGCGUGACGGCGCGAGCAGGUGCGAAAGCAGGUCAUAGUGAUCCGGUGGUUCUGAAUGGAAGGGCCAUCGCUCAACGGAUAAAAGGUACUCCGGGGAUAACAGGCUGAUACCGCCCAAGAGUUCAUAUCGACGGCGGUGUUUGGCACCUCGAUGUCGGCUCAUCACAUCCUGGGGCUGAAGUAGGUCCCAAGGGUAUGGCUGUUCGCCAUUUAAAGUGGUACGCGAGCUGGGUUUAGAACGUCGUGAGACAGUUCGGUCCCUAUCUGCCGUGGGCGCUGGAGAAUUGAGGGGGGCUGCUCCUAGUACGAGAGGACCGG